GCCAAUGAUGGAAAAAUAAGAGACUGUCUGAAAUGCAGUUGUUUUGGUUAGCUGCAUAAAUUUGUUGAAAUUUCAUGAACUAGGACGGUCUGAGGC
Molecule: small nucleolar RNA, 96 nt
Filed under: Corchorus olitorius
Lineage: Eukaryota; Viridiplantae; Streptophyta; Magnoliopsida; Malvales; Malvaceae
Description: Small nucleolar RNA snoR20a
Rfam family: Small nucleolar RNA snoR20a
About the family: The O.sativum sequence was obtained from the plant snoRNA database.
Source: Rfam by way of RNAcentral